UCCCGAGCGUUGUCCGGAUUUAUUGGGCGUAAAGCGAGCGCAGGCGGUUUGAUAAGUCUGAAGUUAAAGGCUGUGGCUCAACCAUAGUUCGCUUUGGAAACUGUCAAACUUGAGUGCAGAAGGGGAGAGUGGAAUUCCAUGUGUAGCGGUGAAAUGCGUAGAUAUAUGGAGGAACACCGGUGGCGAAGGCGGCUCUCUGGUCUGCAACU
RNAcentral lists this ribosomal RNA (209 nucleotides) under uncultured bacterium. RNAcentral describes it as "partial 16S ribosomal RNA". It matches the Rfam family "Bacterial small subunit ribosomal RNA", at positions 532 to 741 of the family's 1533-position model. The record is from RNAcentral.